GAUGAACGCUGGCGGCGUGCCUAAUACAUGCAAGUCGAGCGAACAGAUAAGGAGCUUGCUCCUUUGACGUUAGCGGCGGACGGGUGAGUAACACGUGGGUAACCUACCUAUAAGACUGGGAUAACUUCGGGAAACCGGAGCUAAUACCGGAUAACAUUUGGAACCGCAUGGUUCUAAAGUGAAAGAUGGCUUUGCUAUCACUUAUAGAUGGACCCGCGCCGUAUUAGCUAGUUGGUAAGGUAACGGCUUACCAAGGCAACGAUACGUAGCCGACCUGAGAGGGUGAUCGGCCACACGGGAACUGAGACACGGUCCAGGCUCCUACGGGAGGCAGCAGUAGGGAAUCGUCCGCAAUGGGCGAAAGCCUGACGGAGCAACGCCGCGUGAGUGAUGAAGGGGUUCGGCUCGUAAAACUCUGUUAUUAGGGAAGAACAAAUGUGUAAGUAACUGUGCACGUCUUGACGGUACCUAAUCAGAAAGCCACGGCUAACUACGUG
This 497-nucleotide ribosomal RNA is filed under the name uncultured bacterium. RNAcentral's name for it is "partial 16S ribosomal RNA". It matches the Rfam family "Bacterial small subunit ribosomal RNA", at positions 28 to 507 of the family's 1533-position model. The record is from RNAcentral.